RNAcentral lists this long non-coding RNA (315 nucleotides) under Homo sapiens (human). Its description in RNAcentral is "HSALNT0298469". The record is from RNAcentral. Lineage: Eukaryota; Metazoa; Chordata; Mammalia; Primates; Hominidae.
GCACAGGACAAGAAAGUGACCUCACAAUGACUCAAGCUACCACAUACUGUUGAUUGUGAAAUGCCAGUUGAAGCAUAUGUCCUGCGAGCUUAGGGGUGCUACAAGUUGACCACAGCAGCAGUAAAGAUGACUCUGAAGAAUGGCAUGGGAUGGAUCCUUUCGAAUGCAUUUGAGCAGCGGUCUCCAACCACAGGGCCACAGAGCUGGAGCUGGAUCUACCAUGAAAGACUUCUGAAUCCAGGAAGAGAGACUGACUGGGCAACAUGUUAUUCAGGGUCUCCCUCUGUUGUCCAAGGCUGGAGUGUAGUAGUGCUA